This 438-nucleotide ribosomal RNA is filed under the name uncultured bacterium. RNAcentral describes it as "partial 16S ribosomal RNA". It matches the Rfam family "Bacterial small subunit ribosomal RNA", at positions 339 to 795 of the family's 1533-position model. The record is from RNAcentral.
CUACGGGGGGCAGCAGUGAGGAAUAUUGCACAAUGGGGGGAACCCUGAUGCAGCAACGCCGCGUGGAGGAUGACGCAUUUCGGUGUGUAAACUCCUUUUAUAUGUCAAGAAAAUGACGGUAGCAUAUGAAUAAGCACCGGCUAACUCCGUGCCGGCAGCCGCGGUAAUACGGAGGGUGCAAGCGUUACUCGGAAUCACUUGGCGUAAAGGACGCGUAGGCGGGUUGGAAAGUCAGGUGUGAAAUCCUACAGCUUAACUGUAGAACUGCACUUGAAACUUCUAAUCUAGAGUAUGGGAGGGGAGAUGGAAUUAAUGGUGUAGGGGUAAAAUCCGUAGAUAUCACUAGGAAUACCUAAAGCGAAGGCAAUCUCCUGGAACAUUACUGACGCUAAGGCGUGAAAGCGUGGGGAGCAAACAGGAUUAGAUACCCCAGUAGUC